Long non-coding RNA from Scophthalmus maximus (turbot), 2191 nucleotides. RefSeq lists it as uncharacterized. The transcript is spliced from 5 exons. NCBI's taxonomy places the organism in Eukaryota, Metazoa, Chordata, Actinopteri, Pleuronectiformes, Scophthalmidae. The record is from RefSeq and is a predicted model, not a curated record.
CACAGCUUAGUGAACACAGAGUCAUGGAGAAAUGGAGAUCUCUGUUAAUGACUGGUGCCAGUAGGUGGCAGCAAAUACCAUGAUCACAGCUGAGGACAAUCUUUCCAUGAACAUAUGAAGCUUCUUUUUUUUCUUUCAAUUUCACAAUGUUACUAUGCUCCUUUCUUCCUUUUUAAAAACAAUCGUUAAUAACUGUUACUUGAUUAUGUGCCAGCUGUAUUGUAUGUUAGCAAUAGUGUGAUUAUAUUAUAUAUUUGUAUUUUAUUUGGUGAUUUCCAAACUGAAGCAAAAUAAUAAAUCACGUUUGAAAAAGGUUAUUUUUUCUUUUUCUUCGAUGCAUCAUUUCAUUUUUCUCUUCCGUCAGAAGUGAGCGAGUGCGGAGAGCCAUGUUUUUUUGCUGCACUCCGGCUUCUGCUGACACUGCAGACAGUUCUGUUACACAUGCAGUAGUAACCACCAGUAGUCAGUGUAAAUGAUUUAUGCUGCAUUGUGCAGUCGUUGGACAACGCUCUAUUAAACAAACAAAAAAAGAAAAAGGAAGAAAUGACUCUUAAUUUUACUGAUCUCUUUGCCGGGUGCAGUUUAUUGGCAGAUUUUUUUCGUUGUGUGGAGCCAGCUGGCCUUUGUGGAGGUAGAAUUUGCAUAUGUGGGCUUUAUUUUUCUGCCCUGACUCGCAGGCGCAGGCUGACUGCACUGCACAAAAGACAACACAUGGGAUAUAAACUGCUGCAUUUUCUGAGCAUGUGUGUGCACACAUUUCUCCGGGAAAUAAAAAAAAAUGUCCAACGUUAUAAAUUAAGGAAUAGGGAAGCAAAAAACCCACAAUCUUCUGAUGGAUUAUUUAAUUUAUUAAUUAUUCUUACGCUUAUCCCCCAACCCCAUACACUCACAGAGACCACAUACGACUGUAUGUUACUCAGUAGGUCAUUGACAAUAGUUCAAUUGUUGAAUCUGUUUUGUGUUACUUUUUUUAUUGUUGUAACUUUUGGCUACUGUGGGAAAACCUCUGUAAUCCACACCCUGGCAGAUGGGAGUAGCCCCCCGGGCUGCACCGCAGCGAGUGUAAUGCUCUGCUGCUGCCACCAGAGGGCCCCUGCUGAAUUGAGGACACUGAAGGUUCACUGCACUGCUCUGCCUGCUGCAAACUGCCUCCUCUCUCAUCCAGUCUUCAACUGCAACCCACCAACCUGCAAAUUAUCUGGGAGACAGAGCUCUGCUACAUCUCUGCUGUGCAGCCAUGGCCACCAAAGAAAAAACAAUGUCUCCUGACCGAAGUGACUUUGAUUAUGGCCCAGCUCAUCUGGGACCCAGAUUCCAAAGACAGAAGUUCCUCCUCAAACUGUAUAGAAAAUAUAUUAUGUAUUUGACAGAGAGAGAGAGAGCAAGAGAGAGAGAGAGUCAUCACGGGAACCAUGCCAGCAAAAUCACUCUCACACGCACACGCACACGCACACGCGCACACACACACACACACACACACACACACACACACACACACACACACACACACACACACACACACACACACACACACACUCAUUCCUCUCAUGGCUCUCUGUCAGCUGGAUGAUCAACAGACAGGGUUUUGCAAAACCCGAAUGCUGAACACUGAAUGCUGCAGAAAGUCUCAAAAUAUGCUAAAUAUCUUUAGUUUGCUCAGUAUUGUGUGAGUAGUGGGAAUGAAAGCUUGAUUUAAAACAUAAAUAAAUGAAUACUCCAACCAUGAGACUUGACAAGAUGGCACAUUCAAUAAGACACAAGCAACGAUUGUCGUCUCUCCCUCUAAAAAAUGAAGAGCAUGAUUAUAUAUGGACUUGGACAUUUUGUUUCAAUGAGCUAACAACUGCAUGCAACAACGAUUUGUAACAACUGUCUUUUACCUUUAUUUUUUUCUUCACUUCUGUUGGUAUCUACUUUUUUGCGACUUUCGGAGAAGCAAUCAGUAACAGCAUGAAAACAUAGUGAAGAAACGAAUGACUAGAUUAAACAAAAAACUAUGUUGUAUUUUACGUGAUUUGAAAAAAUAUGAUGGAUGAAAUGCAUAUUGAAUUCUUGUGAGGUUGUAUGGUGUUGAGGUUGUAUUAUUAGCAGGGGCUUUUCUAUCUUAAGUUAAGGCAAAGGUAUUAAAAAUGAAACCUCUACAACCUAAGCAAUGAGACCAGUGUUUCAAAUAAAGCUCCCUUCUACUCAA